UAUCUCUGUAGAGUCUGCAUAUCAAUAAGCGGAGGAAAAGAAACUAACUAGGAUUCCCUCAGUAACGGCGAGUGAAGCGGGAGGAGCUCAAAUUUGAAAUCUUCAAGGUUCUACCUUGACGAAUUGUAGUUUAAAGAAGUGUUUUCUGUUGGAGUUUUGGUAAAAGUUCUUUGGAAUAGGACAUCAUAGAGGGUGAGAAUCCCGUAUUUGACCAUUCUUUCUAGCUUUGUGAUACACUUUCAAAGAGUCGGAUUGUUUGGGAAUGCAGUCCAAAAUGGGUGGUAAAUUUCAUCUAAAGCUAAAUAUUGGCGAGAGACCGAUAGCGAACAAGUACCGUGAGGGAAAGAUGAAAAGAACUUUGAAAAGAGAGUUAAACAGUACGUGAAAUUGUCAAAAGGGAAGCGUUUGACACCAGUGUUGUUUUUCCGAAAAUCAAUUAAAAAUGGAUUCAUGCUAAGUUGUUAUUGUAUUGACCUUAUCAGCUUGCAAUUUAGUUUUGGGUUUCUUUUUGAUGCACUUUUCGGUUAACAAGUCAACAUCAAUUUCCUUUGCUGUAAAAAGGCAGGAGGAAGGUGGCUUCAAUUUCGGUUGAAGUGUUUACAGCCUUCUGUCUCUGCAGUCGGGGAGAUUGAGGUCUGCAGCGUAGAUCCUUCGGGGCUAGAUACAUUCGUGCUAAGUUAUAGCCUUUUAUAGACAACUUGUUGACCAUGAUUGGUCUUGUAAUUUACUCGCGAGUGCUAUUUUACCUACGCUUAGGAUGUUGAUCUACAGAGCGAGAGU
RNAcentral lists this ribosomal RNA (780 nucleotides) under uncultured Neocallimastigales. Its description in RNAcentral is "partial large subunit ribosomal RNA". It matches the Rfam family "Eukaryotic large subunit ribosomal RNA", at positions 24 to 640 of the family's 3401-position model. The record is from RNAcentral. Lineage: Eukaryota; Fungi; Neocallimastigomycota; Neocallimastigomycetes; Neocallimastigales.